GUUAAACGCUGGCGGCAUGCCUUACACAUGCAAGUCGAACGGUAGCGCGGGGCAACCUGGCGACGAGUGGCGAACGGGUGAGUAAAGCAUCGGAACGUGCCCUGGAAUGGGGGAUAACGUAGCGAAAGUUACGCUAAUACCGCAUAUUCUGUGAGCAGGAAAGCAGGGGAUCGCAAGACCUUGCGUUCUGGGAGCAGCCGAUGUCGGAUUAGCUAGUUGGUGGGGUAAAAGCCUACCAAGGCGACGAUCCGUAGCGGGUCUGAGAGGAUGAUCCGCCACACUGGGACUGAGACACGGUCCAGACUCCUACGGGAGGCAGCAGUAAGGAAUAUUGCUCAAUGGCCGAAAGGCUGAAGCAGCAACGCCGCGUGGAGGACGAAAUACUUUUGUAUGUAAACUCCUGUAAGAAGGGAAAAAUAUAGCAGUUUUUCUGCAUUGAUUGUACCUUCAGAGUAAGCACCGGCUAACUACGUGCCAGCAGCCGCGGU
Molecule: ribosomal RNA, 488 nt
Filed under: uncultured bacterium
Lineage: Bacteria
Description: bacterial SSU rRNA
Rfam family: Bacterial small subunit ribosomal RNA
Source: RNAcentral